GUACACUCCUGCGGGAGGCAGCAGUGGGGAAUUUUGGACAAUGGGCGAAAGCCUGAUCCAGCAAUGCCGCGUGUGUGAAGAAGGCCUUCGGGUUGUAAAGCACUUUUGUCCGGAAAGAAAUCCUUGGCUCUAAUACAGUCGGGGGAUGACGGUACCGGAAGAAUAAGCACCGGCUAACUACGUGCCAGCAGCCGCGGUAAUACGUAGGGUGCGAGCGUUAAUCGGAAUUACUGGGCGUAAAGCGUGCGCAGGCGGUUUGCUAAGACCGAUGUGAAAUCCCCGGGCUCAACCUGGGAACUGCAUUGGUGACUGGCAGGCUAGAGUAUGGCAGAGGGGGGUAGAAUUCCACGUGUAGCAGUGAAAUGCGUAGAGAUGUGGAGGAAUACCGAUGGCGAAGGCAGCCCCCUGGGCCAAUACUGACGCUCAUGCACGAAAGCGUGGGGAGCAAACAGGAUUAGAUACCCCUGUAGUCCCA
Molecule: ribosomal RNA, 475 nt
Filed under: uncultured organism
Description: partial 16S ribosomal RNA
Rfam family: Bacterial small subunit ribosomal RNA
Source: RNAcentral